ACUGCCCAACUGCCACUGCCCAGCCUGAUGGCUCCACAUCUCAGGAGUAGGCUCUGAUUCCUUGGGGCCCCAGGAGCCUCUCAGGAGUCUACAUCCCAAGAUGUUCUAACUUCCAGAGUCUCCAAGCCCAUCAAGAGCAAGUUUUGCUAAAAGUGUUCUGAGAGCUUAUGAAGCACAUGGACAAGGAAGGGUUGUGCAUCCGGCUUUCCACCUUAAACUGGUUUCUAUGGUGCUUCAUCGAUGAGAUAAGGAUGCAUAGGAGACCCCAGGCCAGGAGUUCCUUCAGGACACACUGUCCUAGGCCUGGGCCCUGGAGGAGGACAUGGUGAUGAGGCACCCUGAGGCCUCCAUGGGGGAACUGAGAAGCAUGCACUGUGACCUGCACACCCAGCCAAACCUGAGCAAGCACCCCCACCACCCAGGCCUCUGCAGAUAUCCCCCAGCAUUGAGACCCUCCCCAAGGGGAUGGGCUGCUUCUCCCUGGCCCACAGCCCAGCUCCAGCAGCCCAUGGGUAUAGCCCUCCUGAAACAGGAGCCUCAUCCUCCCUCACCCUCACCUGGCUAUGCUGUACCCAAGGCCAAAGCCCAGAGGCAUAAGGGAGCUUCUGCAGAGCCCAGGACAGCAGGCUGCUCUCUGGGGGCCCUGGGGACUCAGAGUGUGGCCAGCCCAUCCCCAGCUCAGGAUAGACCACAGAGUGCUUGGUGAUUCCUGCAUUGGAACUCCCUCUCUAAGCUCCCCAUGGACCUGGACCUCAGAGGUCUGUGGUUUUCACAGUAGAGCUUGGAGCAGAGAUGCUAGGCCCCUAUCACUUCCAUAUGUGUCCUGGACACCUCUAAGAUCAUAGGACUGGCCUAGCCCCCAAUACCAGACACUGCCCAGCCCCCUGAUAGCCCAGAGGUAGGGCCAGAGACAACUCUCCUGCAUGUGAUGCCUACAGCUGAUCACUCUUGGCAGACAGUGAACAUCACGGCCCAGAAGGAGCCAGGGCAGCACUUGGCAAGCUGCCCCAAAGCCCCAGAGAGCUCCUUAGACAUGGAAAGUCAAUACUGAUGGGGAAGCUGGACACUUGGAGGCCACUGGAGGGAGGGGUGAGCAUGGUGUCCCCACAGCCCAGGCCACCCAGCAGCAUGCCCUGCAUCCAUGGUCCCAACCUGUAGGGCAGAACCCCCCUCUCAAUGCACAAUUCCUAGACCCAGAGGGCCCUAGCCCAGACUCAACCUGAGCCCUGAAAGGGAAGGGGCACCAGGGGUGCCUUGGGGCCUCCAGCAGCAGCCAAGAUACACAGGAGAUGGAGCCCCCUGUGGCCCUGGCCAGAACUAGUAUUUGGCUUAAGGCGGAGCAAGCCCCCUUGGAGCACUGCGUACAUACCCGGGGCCUAUGUGUGCCUGGCAAGGCCAAGCUGAUGAUGUUACCAAGCUCAAACUACCACUGGCCACCUUGGUGAGGGUGGGGCAGAAACACGUGGACCAGCCACCAACCUCAUCCAUUCAAGGAAGCAGAAAUGGUCAGGCUCCUGCAGGAUAAGUGGCCACCACCAGACCACCAAUGGGGCAGAGUUCUGAGGCCCAAGCAGAUGGCACUGGGGCCCUGCUUCCAGGGUCCACAAUCUGCUCCAGGACACAAGACUGAAGAAAACUAAGCAAAUGAGAGUCCAGGAGGCUGGAUCCCUCAUCUGCCAUUCUUGGCAGUUGCAUUUUGUGGUCAGAAAAAGUCAGGAAACUUGGCUCUACUCACUGCAGGAGGCUCCAAGGUGGGACCAGAGCUUCCAGCAUAGAUUCAACAAUGCCUAAGAAUGCCUCUUCUUGGGGAAAAGGACCCCUUCCUUGGCCUCAAAGCCCCCACUUAUUUUGAUUAAAGCACAAUAAAGUCUUUGUUGUUA
Molecule: long non-coding RNA, 1880 nt
Filed under: Homo sapiens (human)
Lineage: Eukaryota; Metazoa; Chordata; Mammalia; Primates; Hominidae
Description: long non-coding RNA NONHSAT116323.2
Source: RNAcentral